UACGGAGGGGGCUAGCGUUGUUCGGAAUUACUGGGCGUAAAGCGCACGUAGGCGGCUUUGUAAGUUAGAGGUGAAAGCCUGGAGCUCAACUCCAGAAUUGCCUUUAAGACUGCAUCGCUUGAAUCGCGGAGAGGUGAGUGGAAUUCCGAGUGUAGAGGUGAAAUUCGUAGAUAUUCGGAAGAACACCAGUGGCGAAGGCGGCUCACUGGACGCGUAUUGACGCUGAGGUGCGAAAGCGUGGGGAGCAAACAGG
This 253-nucleotide ribosomal RNA is filed under the name uncultured bacterium. RNAcentral describes it as "partial 16S ribosomal RNA". It matches the Rfam family "Bacterial small subunit ribosomal RNA", at positions 524 to 776 of the family's 1533-position model. The record is from RNAcentral.